RNAcentral lists this ribosomal RNA (497 nucleotides) under uncultured bacterium. RNAcentral describes it as "partial 16S ribosomal RNA". It matches the Rfam family "Bacterial small subunit ribosomal RNA", at positions 28 to 507 of the family's 1533-position model. The record is from RNAcentral.
GAUGAACGCUGGCGGCGUGCCUAAUACAUGCCAGUCGAGCGAACAGACGAGGAGCUUGCUCCUCUGACGUUAGCGGCGGACGGGUGAGUAACACGUGGAUAACCUACCUAUAAGACUGGGAUAACUUCGGGAAACCGGAGCUAAUACCGGAUAACAUGUUGAACCGCAUGGUUCAACAGUGAAAGACGGUCUUGCUGUCAUUUAUAGAUGGAUCCGCGCCGCAUUAGCUAGUUGGUAAGGUAACGGCUUACCAAGGCAACGAUGCGUAGCCGACCUGAGAGGGUGAUCGGCCACACUGGAACUGAGACACGGUCCAGACUCCUACGGGAGGCAGCAGUAGGGAAUCUUCCGCAAUGGGCGAAAGCCUGACGGAGCAACGCCGCGUGAGUGAAGAAGGUCUUCGGAUCGUAAAACUCUGUUAUUAGGGAAGAACAAAUGUGUAAGUAACUAUGCACGUCUUGACGGUACCUAAUCAGAAAGCCACGGCUAACUACGUG